RNAcentral lists this ribosomal RNA (1766 nucleotides) under Staphylococcus aureus. Its description in RNAcentral is "partial 23S ribosomal RNA". It matches the Rfam family "Bacterial large subunit ribosomal RNA", at positions 468 to 2238 of the family's 2925-position model. The record is from RNAcentral. Lineage: Bacteria; Bacillati; Bacillota; Bacilli; Caryophanales; Staphylococcaceae.
AAAUACUCUCUAGUGACCGAUAGUGAACCAGUACCGUGAGGGAAAGGUGAAAAGCACCCCGGAAGGGGAGUGAAAUAGAACCUGAAACCGUGUGCUUACAAGUAGUCAGAGCCCGUUAAUGGGUGAUGGCGUGCCUUUUGUAGAAUGAACCGGCGAGUUACGAUUUGAUGCAAGGUUAAGCAGUAAAUGUGGAGCCGUAGCGAAAGCGAGUCUGAAUAGGGCGUUUAGUAUUUGGUCGUAGACCCGAAACCAGGUGAUCUACCCUUGGUCAGGUUGAAGUUCAGGUAACACUGAAUGGAGGACCGAACCGACUUACGUUGAAAAGUGAGCGGAUGAACUGAGGGUAGCGGAGAAAUUCCAAUCGAACCUGGAGAUAGCUGGUUCUCUCCGAAAUAGCUUUAGGGCUAGCCUCAAGUGAUGAUUAUUGGAGGUAGAGCACUGUUUGGACGAGGGGCCCCUCUCGGGUUACCGAAUUCAGACAAACUCCGAAUGCCAAUUAAUUUAACUUGGGAGUCAGAACAUGGGUGAUAAGGUCCGUGUUCGAAAGGGAAACAGCCCAGACCACCAGCUAAGGUCCCAAAAUAUAUGUUAAGUGGAAAAGGAUGUGGCGUUGCCCAGACAACUAGGAUGUUGGCUUAGAAGCAGCCAUCAUUUAAAGAGUGCGUAAUAGCUCACUAGUCGAGUGACACUGCGCCGAAAAUGUACCGGGGCUAAACAUAUUACCGAAGCUGUGGAUUGUCCUUUGGACAAUGGUAGGAGAGCGUUCUAAGGGCGUUGAAGCAUGAUCGUAAGGACAUGUGGAGCGCUUAGAAGUGAGAAUGCCGGUGUGAGUAGCGAAAGACGGGUGAGAAUCCCGUCCACCGAUUGACUAAGGUUUCCAGAGGAAGGCUCGUCCGCUCUGGGUUAGUCGGGUCCUAAGCUGAGGCCGACAGGCGUAGGCGAUGGAUAACAGGUUGAUAUUCCUGUACCACCUAUAAUCGUUUUAAUCGAUGGGGGGACGCAGUAGGAUAGGCGAAGCGUGCGAUUGGAUUGCACGUCUAAGCAGUAAGGCUGAGUAUUAGGCAAAUCCGGUACUCGUUAAGGCUGAGCUGUGAUGGGGAGAAGACAUUGUGUCUUCGAGUCGUUGAUUUCACACUGCCGAGAAAAGCCUCUAGAUAGAAAAUAGGUGCCCGUACCGCAAACCGACACAGGUAGUCAAGAUGAGAAUUCUAAGGUGAGCGAGCGAACUCUCGUUAAGGAACUCGGCAAAAUGACCCCGUAACUUCGGGAGAAGGGGUGCUCUUUAGGGUUAACGCCCAGAAGAGCCGCAGUGAAUAGGCCCAAGCGACUGUUUAUCAAAAACACAGGUCUCUGCUAAACCGUAAGGUGAUGUAUAGGGGCUGACGCCUGCCCGGUGCUGGAAGGUUAAGAGGAGUGGUUAGCUUCUGCGAAGCUACGAAUCGAAGCCCCAGUAAACGGCGGCCGUAACUAUAACGGUCCUAAGGUAGCGAAAUUCCUUGUCGGGUAAGUUCCGACCCGCACGAAAGGCGUAACGAUUUGGGCACUGUCUCAACGAGAGACUCGGUGAAAUCAUAGUACCUGUGAAGAUGCAGGUUACCCGCGACAGGACGGAAAGACCCCGUGGAGCUUUACUGUAGCCUGAUAUUGAAAUUCGGCACAGCUUGUACAGGAUAGGUAGGAGCCUUUGAAACGUGAGCGCUAGCUUACGUGGAGGCGCUGGUGGGAUACUACCCUAGCUGUGUUGGCUUUCUAACCCGCACCACUUA